UACAGAGGUGGCAAGCGUUGUUCGGAAUUACUGGGCGUAAAGGGCGCGUAGGCGGUUCGUUAAGUCCUGUGUGAAAUCCCCCGGCUCAACUGAGGAACUGCACGGGAAACUGCCUGGCUUGAGUUCGGGAGAGGGAAGCGGAAUUCCGGGUGUAGCGGUGAAAUGCGUAGAUAUCCGGAGGAAUACCGGUGGCGAAGGCGGCAUCCUGGACCGACAUUGACGCUGAACGGCGAAAGCUAGGGGAGCAAACGGG
RNAcentral lists this ribosomal RNA (253 nucleotides) under uncultured bacterium. RNAcentral's name for it is "partial 16S ribosomal RNA". It matches the Rfam family "Bacterial small subunit ribosomal RNA", at positions 524 to 776 of the family's 1533-position model. The record is from RNAcentral.